AGUGAACGCUGGCGGUAGGCCUAACACAUGCAAGUCGAACGGCAGCACAGUAAGAGCUUGCUCUUACGGGUGGCGAGUGGCGGACGGGUGAGGAAUACAUCGGAAUCUACUUUUUCGUGGGGGAUAACGUAGGGAAACUUACGCUAAUACCGCAUACGACCUACGGGUGAAAGCAGGGGAUCUUCGGACCUUGCGCGACUGAAUGAGCCGAUGUCGGAUUAGCUAGUUGGCGGGGUAAAGGCCCACCAAGGCGACGAUCCGUAGCUGGUCUGAGAGGAUGAUCGGCCACACUGGAACUGAGACACGGUCCAGACUCCUACGGGAGGAAGCAGUGGGGAAUAUUGGACAAUGGGGGCAAGCCUGAUCCAGCCAGACCGCGUGGGUGAAGAAGGCCUUCGGGUUGUAAAGCCCUUUUGUUGGGAAAGAAAAGCAGCAGGUUAAUACCCCGCUGUUCUGACGGUACCCAAAGAAUAAGCACCGGCUAACUUCGUG
This 492-nucleotide ribosomal RNA is filed under the name uncultured bacterium. RNAcentral's name for it is "partial 16S ribosomal RNA". It matches the Rfam family "Bacterial small subunit ribosomal RNA", at positions 29 to 507 of the family's 1533-position model. The record is from RNAcentral.